This is a long non-coding RNA of Oncorhynchus kisutch (coho salmon), 690 nucleotides long. RefSeq lists it as uncharacterized. The transcript has 2 exons. NCBI's taxonomy places the organism in Eukaryota, Metazoa, Chordata, Actinopteri, Salmoniformes, Salmonidae. The record is from RefSeq and is a predicted model, not a curated record.
UUCAUGUCCGUACGCUACUCUUGUUUAUUGUAUUAUUAAACUCACCACUUGCUUCCUGACUGCCAGGGUCUACAUUACAGAAUCCCGCCUCAACAAAUGGAAGCAACAGGCAUACCUACUUCCUCAACACCACAACCAGCUGGUACAACUGGGGGAGGCUUUGAAAGAGGUUCUUCACAUUCUUCAACGUCUCGAACAUACCCGAGAGGCGUUGCCUUCAACUAGCGAUACUAUGCCUCCAGCCGACCCAGCGAGCCAGCACACCAGUUCAGUCAGCAGUCCGCCCAGAUGGGAGCCCCGACUAACUGAGAGGUCCAAGGUUGCCACGGUUAUUUCUCUGCCGACUGGGUGGGCGUUGGUGUGGGCCACGGCCGUCUGGGAGAGAGGAGGAGCUGGAUUCAUAUGAGGGGUUCAUGGCUCUGUUCAGAGGUGUCUUCAAUCAUCCACCGGAGGGCAAAGAGGAGGGUGAGCACCUAUUCCAACUACGGCAGGAUGACCAGAUCGCUGCCAAGGACUCGCUCACCUUCCGGACUAUAGCAGCAUCCAGCGGAUGGAUUGAGCUGACACGCCGUACGCUAUUCAGAAGAGGACUGCGCGAGGAAGUCCAGACGAAACUGGCAUGUCGAGACGCUAUGCAGAAAUAUUCUCAGGAAUAAAAGAGUGAUCAAAUUAAAAUCCUACAUCUUGUCA